CAAAGGUUUGGUCCUGGCCUUCUUAUUAAUUGUAAGUAAACUUAUACAUGCAAGUUUCAGCACUCCAGUGAGAAUGCCCUUUAAUUCUAUCAGAUUAAAAGGUGCGGGUAUCAAGCUCACAAAUGUAGCUCAAGACACCUUGCUUAGCCACACCCCCACGGGAUACAGCAGUAACAAAAAUUAAGCCAUGAACGAAAGUUUGACUUAGUUAUACUUUUUAGAGUUGGUAAACUUCGUGCCAGCCACCGCGGUCAUACGAAUAACUCAAAUUAAUAAGUACCGGCGUAAAGUGUGAUUAGGAACCCAAUUAAAAAUAAAAUUAAAACCUUUCUAUGCUGUAAAAAGCCAAAGAAAUGACCUAAAUAAACCACAAAAGUGAUUUUAUUAAAUCUGAACUCACGAUAGCUAAGAAACAAACUGGGAUUAGAUACCCCACUAUGCUUAGCCCUAAACCUCGACAAUCAAAAACAAGAUUGCCCGCCAGAGAACUACUAGCCAAUGCUUAAAACUUAAAGGACUUGGCGGUGCUUCAAACCCACCUAGAGGAGCCUGUUAUGUAAUCGAUAAACCCCGAUAUACCCCACCAUCAUUUGCUAAAUCAGUCUAUAUACCGCCAUCUUCAGCAAACCCUGAAAAGGCAGAACAGUAAGCCUAAUCAUGUAAACAUAAAAACGUUAGGUCAAGGUGUAACCUAUAUGAUGGGAUCUAAUGGGCUACAUUUUCUCUUACCCAGAACAGUCACCCACGAAGGCCUUCAUGAAAUCUGAAGGAUAAAGGAGGAUUUAGCAGUAAACUGAGAAUAGAGUGCUCAAUUGAAACCGGCCAUGAAGCACGCACACACCGCCCGUCACCCUCCUCAACCUCAAUCAUAGUGUUUAAUAAAUUAAACCUAAACACUCCCAGAAUUCAGAGGAGACAAGUCGUAACAAGGUAAGCAUACUGGAAAGUGUGCUUGGAAAACUC
RNAcentral lists this non-coding RNA (963 nucleotides) under Nesogale talazaci (Talazac's shrew tenrec). RNAcentral describes it as "partial 12S ribosomal RNA". It matches the Rfam family "Bacterial small subunit ribosomal RNA". The record is from RNAcentral. Lineage: Eukaryota; Metazoa; Chordata; Mammalia; Afrosoricida; Tenrecidae.